Molecule: unclassified non-coding RNA, 231 nt
Filed under: Hevea brasiliensis (rubber tree)
Lineage: Eukaryota; Viridiplantae; Streptophyta; Magnoliopsida; Malpighiales; Euphorbiaceae
Source: RNAcentral
GCACCUGCACCUACUAAACCCCAGUGCAAUAACCAUUACUCCCAUUGAAUGAAGAAAUGUCAGCUUUCUAUCCUUGAAUAUUUAGAAUCCUCCACUGCAAUAAGCAUUUUUCGAAGUGAUCACCUCAAAUCAUAUUUUUCCUUAAUCAACUUGUUGAAUUUGUGAUUACACACUCCAACAAACAAGAGAGAAUGGCCCCAGUGCAAUGGUCAAGAAUUCUCACAAUUUACA